AGCGAACGCUGGCGGCAGGCUUAACACAUGCAAGUCGAGCGGACCUUUCGGGGUCAGCGGCGGACGGGUGAGUAACGCGUGGGAACGUGCCUUCCGGUUCGGAAUAACCCUGGGAAACUAGGGCUAAUACCGGAUACGCCCUUAUGGGGAAAGGUUUACUGCCGGAAGAUCGGCCCGCGUCUGAUUAGCUAGUUGGUGGGGUAACGGCCUACCAAGGCGACGAUCAGUAGCUGGUCUGAGAGGAUGAUCAGCCACACUGGGACUGAGACACGGCCCAGACUCCUACGGGAAGGAGCAGUGGGGAAUAUUGGACAAUGGGCGCAAGCCUGAUCCAGCCAUGCCGCGUGAGUGAUGAAGGCCUUAGGGUUGUAAAGCUCUUUUAUCCGGGACGAUAAUGACGGUACCGGAGGAAUAAGCCCCGGCUAACUUCGUG
This 433-nucleotide ribosomal RNA is filed under the name uncultured bacterium. RNAcentral describes it as "partial 16S ribosomal RNA". It matches the Rfam family "Bacterial small subunit ribosomal RNA", at positions 29 to 507 of the family's 1533-position model. The record is from RNAcentral.